Juglans regia (Persian walnut) is the source of this 1207-nucleotide long non-coding RNA. RefSeq lists it as uncharacterized. The transcript has 2 exons. NCBI's taxonomy places the organism in Eukaryota, Viridiplantae, Streptophyta, Magnoliopsida, Fagales, Juglandaceae. The record is from RefSeq and is a predicted model, not a curated record.
UUGUAAGUAUCUUUUCUCUAAAAGCAUCGUUAUCCGCAUGCGCCUCCGUUUCGUCCACUCCAGAUUAACCUUCCCGUCUCGCCCUCUCUCUUUUUUCCUUCUUUUUCUGAGCUUUCUUCAUCUCCUUCCCUCGUCUCUUCCGUUUCCGUCCCAUCUUUCUCUCACAAAUCCUCUCUCUUGUUCUUCUCGCUCACUGCCUCUUCUCUCAAGACGGAAAUAAAAAACAACAGGUUUAUUUGUCUUCAAAUGUAGAUAGAUUUGUAGAUCUUUUCUUUGGAUGUUCUCCUGCGAUUUUUUGUUUCCCUCGUAAGUAUUUUCCUUCUCAAUAGAUAUAAGAAUUUAAUGAUUUCAUUUCGGUUUUUUUUUUUUGCAAUUUUGUUUUUUUUUUUCUGGGUUCCAGUGGCGAUUUGUUUCGUUCAAGGGACAUCUGAGAAUUUUUUCUCAGAUAUGAAUUUUUGUUUCGUUUUCUAUUUUUUUUGUUUUUUUGACUAUUAUAACUUUUUUCUAACAAAUCUGACAUGUUUGUGAUUGUGUUUAAUUUUUUUUUCCUAUAGCUGAUUAUUAAGGCUGAAACUAUGGAGUUGUAAAAUAUCAAGCGUAUAUUUGUAAUUUGUGUAAGUCAGAAUCUUAUUUUACACCUUUUAAUGAUGUGCAUAUAUAGUUUUAUCUUUUCAGUUUAUAGUUUCUAAUUUUUUUACUUGCAUAUGUAACAACCAUUUGAUAAGCAGGUUGUAGUUUGCAUUUUAGCACAUUUUUUUUUAUCUCAAAGUGUUAUUCUGCAGCUUUUAGGCACGAGUAUAUGUAAUUUUAUUGUUUGAGUUUGUAAUGUUCAAUUUUUUAACUUGCAUGUGUACCAACUAUCUGGAAAACACUUUGUAAUUUGCAUUUCAGCAUAUGUGUUUAGAUGAGAAUUUUAUUCUACAACUUUUAGACAUGACAGUAAGAACUUUUAAUCUUUUAGUUUGUAGUGUGAAAUUUUUUUACGUGCAUAUGUACCAACCAUACCAUCUGAUAAAACACUUCUUGGCUUGUGUUUUAGCAUAUAUGUUUAGAUAAGAAGCUUAUUUUACAGCUUUUAAGGACUGAUCGUAUAUACUAUAUUUUAAGCAUCAUCAUGUAUACACUAUCUCUUCUUGUUUGUACUCUAUAGUUUUCGAAACUGCUAGUGUAGCAACUAUUUGAUAAAGAGUUUGUCACUUGGAUUUUA